Molecule: ribosomal RNA, 466 nt
Filed under: uncultured bacterium
Lineage: Bacteria
Description: partial 16S ribosomal RNA
Rfam family: Bacterial small subunit ribosomal RNA
Source: RNAcentral
CUACGGGGGGCUCCAGUGGGGAAUAUUGGACAAUGGGGGAAACCCUGAUCCAGCAAUGCCGCGUGUGUGAAGAAGGCCUGCGGGUUGUAAAGCACUUUCGGUUGGGAGGACUGCUUCUAGCACUAAUAUUGUUGGAAGUUGACGUUACCUUCAGAAGAAGCACCGGCUAACUCCGUGCCAGCAGCCGCGGUAAUACGGAGGGUGCAAGCGUUGAAUCGGAAUUACUGGGCGUAAAGCGCGCGUAGGCGGCUAGGUCAGUCGGGUGUGAAAGCCCCGGGCUUAACCUGGGAACUGCAUCCGAUACUGUCUAGCUUGAGUACAGGAGAGGAGAGUGGAAUUCCACAUGUAGCGGUGAAAUGCGUAGAUAUGUGGAGGAACACCAAUGGCGAAGGCAGCUCUCUGGCCUGAUACUGACGCUGAGGUGCGAAAGCGUGGGGAGCAAACAGGAUUAGAUACCCGCGUAGUC